UCUGAUUGUCAAGAUGCUCAGA
This 22-nucleotide non-coding RNA is filed under the name Rattus norvegicus (Norway rat). The record is from RNAcentral. Lineage: Eukaryota; Metazoa; Chordata; Mammalia; Rodentia; Muridae.